This 1324-nucleotide long non-coding RNA is filed under the name Strigops habroptila (Kakapo). RNAcentral's name for it is "lncRNA (ENSSHBG00005017224.1)". Lineage: Eukaryota; Metazoa; Chordata; Aves; Psittaciformes; Psittacidae. The record is from RNAcentral.
GCUGGGUUUCGAAUGUAAUGUCUUUUUUUCUCCAGCAUUUACUGUAACAGCAAGCAUUAGAGAUAAGUUCCAAUAUUCUUGUAUUGCUUCUGAAGAGUAAUUUACUGCCAUAAACUGAAAUUUGCUGAGCAGAGAUUGUAUUUCUAUGUGAAGUCUUGCCAGCAUAGAAAAAAACCCCACAUAGUAUGCGUCAUAUUGAAUAAGUAUCUUUUCUUCUUACCAGAAUAUCCUGUUUAUAAAUAAUCCAUUCAAAAACUGCUGCAAAGGUGCAGUGAAAUAUAUGACGUACUCCUGAAACCAAGCUUCUGUAUCCCUUCUUUAUUUGAAAUGAACCUUGAGUUUCCCACAGCCUUGUUUAUUGUCACCCCUUGGCAUCACGUUGCUUUGUUCAUUUUUCUCUUGUAGCAUAAGGUUCCUCCAGUAUUUAUGUGGUAUCUUUAUAUGCUGUUUGCAGGUGACUGUGUUCCUUUGCAGCUCAAAGGUAAAGUUUGCAUAGCUCUCCACUGAUUUAUCAACCUUAAUCCUCUUGAGGGGAAGGAACACCCUCAGGUCCUCUGGAAACAAGUGGGAGGCCAAAGCACUCGCUGUCUACAGAGCUGGGCUUAUAAUUAACAAAAGUGACCUAAUCUCAUAGUGGGUUUGAAUGCAUUGUCUGUGAGAAUUUAUCCUAAUAUUCCAGUAGAUCAAGUUCAACACAAGGUUGGUAUUUACAGAAAGACUGAAAAACAUUGUUCGGUUUAGAGUCUGAAACUCCUCCUUACUUGUCCGUUUCCUGUCUUACAAAUUCUUACAAUGGUCAGUGGUAUCAGGAACAAUUAUUGCAGUCCUCUUUUGCAAGAUUCCUGGCUGUUUGCUGUAUAAAAGCUGCUAAUAUGGGGGAAUAUGCUUUAUCCAGAAGACCAGCAGAGACACCCAGCACUUCUGUUAGCAUUAAAUGUAUAGCAAGUGAUUUAGUUAAUCAUGGGAUGGAAGUUAGUUGAUUUGACCUGGUGUUCUCUGACGAUGUGUCCUUAUUGCUGUAUCUUUACAUCUGCUAAUAGCAAGGAGUACAAACAGAUGCAAUAUGCAAGCACUUUUGCAUGAUUGUUACUUUAAAAUACUGCGGUUUUUUCCCAAGAGUUUCAUGAUGUUGAAAGCAGGAAAAGGAGUAAAAUACCAUCAUAUUUUCAUACGCACUCAUUGUAGGCUCAUGUUUCCUUCACGUGCACUGUCAUGUGCUUAGAUUUACUAUGCGUGUAUAAGGUAUCCAUGUAUUUGUAUGAACCUGCUGUAUUAAAGAUUUUGGUAUCCAUCCUCAUUCUUAAAAUUAAAGGAUUGAGCAAAA